RNAcentral lists this ribosomal RNA (407 nucleotides) under Escherichia coli. Its description in RNAcentral is "partial 23S ribosomal RNA". It matches the Rfam family "Bacterial large subunit ribosomal RNA", at positions 1350 to 1759 of the family's 2925-position model. The record is from RNAcentral. Lineage: Bacteria; Pseudomonadati; Pseudomonadota; Gammaproteobacteria; Enterobacterales; Enterobacteriaceae. RNAcentral also lists the same sequence under 1 other name.
GGUUCCUGUCCAACGUUAAUCGGGGCAGGGUGAGUCGACCCCUAAGGCGAGGCCGAAAGGCGUAGUCGAUGGGAAACAGGUUAAUAUUCCUGUACUUGGUGUUACUGCGAAGGGGGGACGGAGAAGGCUAUGUUGGCCGGGCGACGGUUGUCCCGGUUUAAGCGUGUAGGCUGGUUUUCCAGGCAAAUCCGGAAAAUCAAGGCUGAGGCGUGAUGACGAGGCACUACGGUGCUGAAGCAACAAAUGCCCUGCUUCCAGGAAAAGCCUCUAAGCAUCAGGUAACAUCAAAUCGUACCCCAAACCGACACAGGUGGUCAGGUAGAGAAUACCAAGGCGCUUGAGAGAACUCGGGUGAAGGAACUAGGCAAAAUGGUGCCGUAACUUCGGGAGAAGGCACGCUGAUAUGU